This 253-nucleotide ribosomal RNA is filed under the name uncultured bacterium. Its description in RNAcentral is "partial 16S ribosomal RNA". It matches the Rfam family "Bacterial small subunit ribosomal RNA", at positions 524 to 776 of the family's 1533-position model. The record is from RNAcentral.
UACGUAGGCAGCGAGCGUUGUUCGGAAUUACUGGGCGUAAAGAGUGUGUAGGCGGUGCUCUAAGUUCGGUGUGAAAUCUCCCGGCUUAACUGGGAGGGUGCGCCGGAAACUGGAGUGCUCGAGCGUGGGAGAGGAAAGCGGAAUUCCUGGUGUAGCGGUGAAAUGCGUAGAUAUCAGGAGGAACACCUGCGGUGUAGACGGCUUUCUGGACCGUUGCUGACGCUGAGACACGAAAGCGUGGGGAGCAAACAGG